Galeopterus variegatus (Sunda flying lemur) is the source of this 253-nucleotide long non-coding RNA. RefSeq lists it as uncharacterized. The record is from RefSeq and is a predicted model, not a curated record. The transcript has 2 exons. NCBI's taxonomy places the organism in Eukaryota, Metazoa, Chordata, Mammalia, Dermoptera, Cynocephalidae.
UGAGAGGAUUGCUGUUGUACUACAAUCAUGGUGCAAAAAUACCAGUCACCAGUGAGGGUGUGUGUAUCCACCCCUUUGAAUCAGUUAUGGCUCUGGCCAGUAUAGGGAUGGAACCCUGGACCUUAGUGUAUGAGAACCACGCACUAACCAACCAAGCAACUGGCCAGCCCCCGUUAGGUGACUGUUACCUGUUUCUGUUCUUUGUAUAAAUAAAAACUCAGGUGUUUUUGCAUCUGGCUGCCUCUGCUCAGCA